CCUCUCAGCCAUGUGUUUAUGUGACAGGCAUUCUUGGUCAUUGCAUUGUCCUUCUCUGCCACUGCAGGAAUACCUGCAAAUACUACUUGUAUGCCUGCUCUGUCAACUAAACUCUCCAGCCCCCUAAAAUCAUUUUUUAUAGCCCUUAGGCUUCUGACAGCGACCUCAUCACUGCCAGCCUGAACAAAAAAUAACAGAUAGUUAUCAGAGGGGUGGAGAGUAUAUGAGAAUAUACACCAAGAAUAUAUGAGAGUAUACAACAAGAAAUUUGAUCCUUUGCUUACAUCCCCCGUAGCAACGACUGUGCUUUGUCUUCUCCACAGCAACACAGUGCUCCCCUGACACCCCACAGUCAAGAUUAGGGCCCACACACGGCACCAAAGGCACACACUUCUGCCACUUGAGCUCAAGCUACCUUUACUAGAAAUGCAAGUAGGAAGCAGGUUGGGACAGUGAGCGGGAGGCACAGUAGGACGGAGCUACGAUCCUAUAGACACACUGCCCAGGGCUUGCGUUGGCUCCUGCCACCCAAAUCAGCCCCCGUCCUGUGGCUGAUUAUGCAGAAAGCACUGCUUUACAUAGUAUGUACUUAUAUAGGGUGCGUACAGUGAAUCUGGUUGGGUUCCUUUCCUAGCAAAUCAGUAUUUUAGGAAAUAGCUGGUGGGUUUCGGGGUCUUAGCUCAAGGCAACCUAGAAGAAAGCCCAGUUGUCAAGCCUGCCAGAUCAGGCCCAGAAACCAGGAAACACCAGAGUAACCAAGUCUUAAAGACACAUCUGGACAAACAGCUGGGACUGCCGUGUCCACUCACAGCAUCCAGAGGUCACCGGUGACAUAAGGAGGUCCCAAUGGAGCCCAAAAUACCCAACCAGAGCUGCUCAGUCUCUCAUAGCUGGGGGCAGUUUGUGACCCUCAGUAUUGUCCAGGUUGACCUGCAGCUGCUCAGUGCCUCCAGCAAGCUUGCAGGCUCACCACCUUGGCGUACUGGUAACGUGCAGAAUCAAAGUCCACAACCC
This 1014-nucleotide long non-coding RNA is filed under the name Gallus gallus (chicken). Its description in RNAcentral is "lncRNA (ENSGALG00010003738.1)". The record is from RNAcentral. Lineage: Eukaryota; Metazoa; Chordata; Aves; Galliformes; Phasianidae.